GGUCGCAUAGCUCAGUUGGUUAGAGCAUUGCAUUCACAUUGCAAGGGUCCCUGGUUCGAGUCCAGGUGCGACCACCA
RNAcentral lists this transfer RNA (77 nucleotides) under Candidatus Moraniibacteriota bacterium. RNAcentral describes it as "Candidatus Moranbacteria bacterium tRNA-Val". It matches the Rfam family "tRNA". From Rfam's summary of the family: Transfer RNA (tRNA) molecules are approximately 80 nucleotides in length. Their secondary structure includes four short double-helical elements and three loops (D, anti-codon, and T loops). Further hydrogen bonds mediate the characteristic L-shaped molecular structure. tRNAs have two regions of fundamental functional importance: the anti-codon, which is responsible for specific mRNA codon recognition, and the 3' end, to which the tRNAs corresponding amino acid is attached (by aminoacyl-tRNA synthetases). tRNAs cope with the degeneracy of the genetic code in two manners: having more than one tRNA (with a specific anti-codon) for a particular amino acid; and 'wobble' base-pairing, i.e. permitting non-standard base-pairing at the 3rd anti-codon position. The record is from RNAcentral. Lineage: Bacteria; Candidatus Moraniibacteriota.